CAUGGCGUCGUAGCGGCUGGUUAUAUCACAGCAGCCGAACGUGGCAGAUCUUUCUUUUUGUAGGUGAAAUUCAAGGGAAGAACUGCAAAUGCUCGGCGCCAUCUUGUACGAACGAUGUGGUCUGGCGAACAGCUUGCCAAGGUGACCAUGCAGUACCUUUGAAUGUAUUUAAGGGUAAGUUGCAAGUCGGUAGAUUUGCUCCGCAGUUUACCGGAUACCAGCACGCUGCUUCGCGAGAACUACUCUACGUUGUUCUGGGGGACUUAGACGAACAUCUGAAUCCGAUUUUGAAGAAGUCUUGCAUCGAUGGACACUGACAAAAUAUAGGAAGCUGCACAUGAAUGUUGGGUAUUUUAUCAUAAGUAGAAUACAGAAAAAUUCUGCAGUAGUAGGUCUCUUUAGUUGGGUAUUGAAAUUGGCUUUAGUGUGUCUGGGGUCAGAUGAGGUCUCAGUUGCAUUUGAUCCUACUCGUUAUCUAUCACUGCCAAUGCCAGUCGAAAAGGAAGUACCAGUUGACCUGUAUCUGGCUUACAUGGAACUUUUAGCAGAAAAUUUUCUGCUUUCAAGGGAUUCGAAGAGUUUGCAAAAUAUUAUGUCUCUAGGAUUCCACAGUUUUAUGUAAUUCAAUUGAAAAGAAAUUUAUACUGAUUCUUGUUUUAUUUUUCUAAAGGCAGAUUCGUAAUUAUAAAGAAUUAGGAAAGAAAAUUGACGAAGGCUCAGUGCCAAAAAAAUUAUGGUAGUUGGAAUGAUGACCGAAGCUCCUCGGAUUCGUUUAUUUCACGCGUUAUGCGGGUCAUGCAGAUGCUGUAAUCAGCAGAGAAGGUUGGAAGUGCGCUGCCCGGGAAGCAAAUUUGGGGUAAAAGAAAAAAACCUAUUCCAACUAUUAAGCCAUUUCCAAAUUCAACCAACAAAAAGGUACACAGGGAGAUUUGCUUAACGAUUACGUUUCUUUAAUUGAUUUUAAAAUUAGGAAAAGG
Molecule: long non-coding RNA, 977 nt
Organism: Daphnia carinata
Lineage: Eukaryota; Metazoa; Arthropoda; Branchiopoda; Diplostraca; Daphniidae
Exons: 4
Source: RefSeq, a predicted model, not a curated record